UUCUCUCCUCCUCUUUAAAAAUAUUUCUCCAUAUUAUUAAGGCUUUUUGAGGUUUUGGAAUUUCAAUAAAGAAUCACGUUUUCAGCAAUUUUGUUUUCCACGUUCAUCUUCAAAAGGUAGAAAUUAGUAUGCUGGACGGCGAUGGAUGGAUGCAUAUUGGACCAAUGGAUCUCCAUCAUGAAGUACUUUAAUUAUUAGAAACACUAGAAUAUUUAUUAACAUUUGAUUAUUAUUAUUUUUAAAUUUAGACUCAAUUGUGAGUCACGUCAUAACUUUCAAUUAGUCCUAUUUUUAUUAUUUGUUAGAACUACUUUUAUUAAUGUUUGAUAAAAGAUAUGAUUCCAAAUUGUUCCGCAUAUGUUAUUUAAUUUAAUUUACCUUUUGUUAA
This is a long non-coding RNA of Olea europaea var. sylvestris, 388 nucleotides long. RefSeq lists it as uncharacterized. Lineage: Eukaryota; Viridiplantae; Streptophyta; Magnoliopsida; Lamiales; Oleaceae. The transcript has 2 exons. The record is from RefSeq and is a predicted model, not a curated record.